Molecule: ribosomal RNA, 2899 nt
Filed under: Escherichia coli
Lineage: Bacteria; Pseudomonadati; Pseudomonadota; Gammaproteobacteria; Enterobacterales; Enterobacteriaceae
Description: 23S ribosomal RNA
Rfam family: Bacterial large subunit ribosomal RNA
Source: RNAcentral
GGUUAAGCGACUAAGCGUACACGGUGGAUGCCCGGCAGUCAGAGGCGAUGAAGGACGUGCUAAUCUGCGAUAAGCGUCGGUAAGGUGAUAUGAACCGUUAUAACCGGCGAUUUCCGAAUGGGGAAACCCAGUGUGUUUCGACACACUAUCAUUAACUGAAUCCAUAGGUUAAUGAGGCGAACCGGGGGAACUGAAACAUCUAAGUACCCCGAGGAAAAGAAAUCAACCGAGAUUCCCCCAGUAGCGGCGAGCGAACGGGGAGCAGCCCAGAGCCUGAAUCAGUGUGUGUGUUAGUGGAAGCGUCUGGAAAGGCGCGCGAUACAGGGUGACAGCCCCGUACACAAAAAUGCACAUGCUGUGAGCUCGAUGAGUAGGGCGGGACACGUGGUAUCCUGUCUGAAUAUGGGGGACCAUCCUCCAAGGCUAAAUACUCCUGACUGACCGAUAGUGAACCAGUACCGUGAGGGAAAGGCGAAAAGAACCCCGGCGAGGGGAGUGAAAAAGAACCUGAAACCGUGUACGUACAAGCAGUGGGAGCACGCUUAGGCGUGUGACUGCGUACCUUUUGUAUAAUGGGUCAGCGACUUAUAUUCUGUAGCAAGGUUAACCGAAUAGGGGAGCCGAAGGGAAACCGAGUCUUAACUGGGCGUUAAGUUGCAGGGUAUAGACCCGAAACCCGGUGAUCUCAGCCAUGGGCAGGUUGAAGGUUGGGUAACACUAACUGGAGGACCGAACCGACUAAUGUUGAAAAAUUAGCGGAUGACUUGUGGCUGGGGGUGAAAGGCCAAUCAAACCGGGAGAUAGCUGGUUCUCCCCGAAAGCUAUUUAGGUAGCGCCUCGUGAAUUCAUCUCCGGGGGUAGAGCACUGUUUCGGCAAGGGGGUCAUCCCGACUUACCAACCCGAUGCAAACUGCGAAUACCGGAGAAUGUUAUCACGGGAGACACACGGCGGGUGCUAACGUCCGUCGUGAAGAGGGAAACAACCCAGACCGCCAGCUAAGGUCCCAAAGUCAUGGUUAAGUGGGAAACGAUGUGGGAAGGCCCAGACAGCCAGGAUGUUGGCUUAGAAGCAGCCAUCAUUUAAAGAAAGCGUAAUAGCUCACUGGUCGAGUCGGCCUGCGCGGAAGAUGUAACGGGGCUAAACCAUGCACCGAAGCUGCGGCAGCGACACUAUGCGUUGUUGGGUAGGGGAGCGUUCUGUAAGCCUGUGAAGGUGUGCUGUGAGGCAUGCUGGAGGUAUCAGAAGUGCGAAUGCUGACAUAAGUAACGAUAAAGCGGGUGAAAAGCCCGCUCGCCGGAAGACCAAGGGUUCCUGUCCAACGUUAAUCGGGGCAGGGUGAGUCGACCCCUAAGGCGAGGCCGAAAGGCGUAGUCGAUGGGAAACAGGUUAAUAUUCCUGUACUUGGUGUUACCGCGAAGGGGGACGGAGAAGGCUAUGUUGGCCGGGCGACGGUUGUCCCGGUUUAAGCGUGUAGGCUGGUUUUCCGUGCAAAUCCGGAAAAUCAAGGCUGAGGCGUGAUGACGAGGCACUACGGUGCUGAAGCAACAAAUGCCCUGCUUCCAGGAAAGCCUCUAAGCAUCAGGUAACAUCAAAUCGUACCCCAAACCGACACAGGUGGUCAGGUAGAGAAUACCAAGGCGCUUGAGAGAACUCGGGUGAAGGAACUAGGCAAAAUGGUGCCGUAACUUCGGGAGAAGGCACGCUGAUAUGUAGGUGAAGUCCCUUGCGGAUGGAGCUGAAAUCAGUCGAAGAUACCAGCUGGCUGCAACUGUUUAUUAAAAACACAGCACUGUGCAAACACGAAAGUGGACGUAUACGGUGUGACGCCUGCCCGGUGCCGGAAGGUUAAUUGAUGGGGUCAGCGCAAGCGAAGCUCUUGAUCGAAGCCCCGGUAAACGGCGGCCGUAACUAUAACGGUCCUAAGGUAGCGAAAUUCCUUGUCGGGUAAGUUCCGACCUGCACGAAUGGCGUAAUGAUGGCCAGGCUGUCUCCACCCGAGACUCAGUGAAAUUGAACUCGCUGUGAAGAUGCAGUGUACCCGCGGCAAGACGGAAAGACCCCGUGAACCUUUACUAUAGCUUGACACUGAACAUUGAGCCUUGAUGUGUAGGAUAGGUGGGAGGCUUGGAAGUGUGGACGCCAGUCUGCAUGGAGCCGACCUUGAAAUACCACCCUUUAAUGUUUGAUGUUCUAACGUUGACCCGUAAUCCGGGUUGCGGACAGUGUCUGGUGGGUAGUUUGACUGGGGCGGUCUCCUCCUAAAGAGUAACGGAGGAGCACGAAGGUUGGCUAAUCCUGGUCGGACAUCAGGAGGUUAGUGCAAUGGCAUAAGCCAGCUUGACUGCGAGCGUGACGGCGCGAGCAGGUGCGAAAGCAGGUCAUAGUGAUCCGGUGGUUCUGAAUGGAAGGGCCAUCGCUCAACGGAUAAAAGGUACUCCGGGGAUAACAGGCUGAUACCGCCCAAGAGUUCAUAUCGACGGCGGUGUUUGGCACCUCGAUGUCGGCUCAUCACAUCCUGGGGCUGGAAGUAGGUCCCAAGGGUAUGGCUGUUCGCCAUUUAAAGUGGUACGCGAGCUGGGUUUAGAACGUCGUGAGACAGUUCGGUCCCUAUCUGCCGUGGGCGCUGGAGAACUGAGGGGGCUGCUCCUAGUACGAGAGGACCGGAGUGGACGCAUCACUGGUGUUCGGGUUGUCAUGCCAAUGGCACUGCCCGGUAGCUAAAUGCGGAAGAGAUAAGUGCUGAAAGCAUCUAAGCACGAAACUUGCCCCGAGAUGAGUUCUCCUGACUCCUUGAGAGUCCUGAAGGAACGUUGAAGACGACGACGUUGAUAGGCCGGGUGUGUAAGCGCAGCGAUGCGUUGAGCUAACCGGUACUAAUGAACCGUGAGGCUUAACCUU